UAUGUGAUCGUCUCUCGCAUAUCAAUAAGCGGAGGAAAAGAAACUAGCAAGGAUUCCCCUAGUAACGGCGAGUGAAGCGGGAAGAGCUCAAAUUUGAAAUCUUAAAGGGUUUCCCUUUACGAAUUGUAGUUUAAAGAAGUGUUUUCUGUUGAGGUUUUGGUAAAAGUUCUUUGGAAUAGGACAUCAUAGAGGGUGAGAAUCCCGUAUUUGACCUUUACUUUCAACUUUGUGAUACACUUUCAAAGAGUCGGAUUGUUUGGGAAUGCAGUCCAAAAUGGGUGGUAAAUUUCAUCUAAAGCUAAAUAUUGGCGAGAGACCGAUAGCGAACAAGUACCGUGAGGGAAAGAUGAAAAGAACUUUGAAAAGAGAGUUAAACAGUACGUGAAAUUGUCAAAAGGGAAGCGUUUGACACCAGUGUUGUUUUUCUGAAAAUCAAUUAAAGAACUGUUUAUGCUAAGCUUGUUUAGACUUUAUCAGCUAACUGUUUAGUUUUGAGCUUUUCUUUAAUGCACUUUUCAGUUAACAAGUCAACAUCAAUUUCUUUUGCUGUAAAAAAGCUUGAGGAAGGUGGCUUGAGAUUCGUCUUAAGUGUUUAUAGCCUCUUGCCUAUGCAGUCGGAGAGAUUGAGGUCUGCAGCGUAGAUCCUUCGGGGCUAAAUGCAUUUGUGCUAAGUUAUAACAUUUUAUAGACAACUUGUUGACUAUGAUUUGUCUUGUAGCUUACUCGCUUAUGUUAUUUUACCUACGCUUAGGAUGUUGAGUAGCGACAUACGCAC
This 775-nucleotide ribosomal RNA is filed under the name uncultured Neocallimastigales. RNAcentral's name for it is "partial large subunit ribosomal RNA". It matches the Rfam family "Eukaryotic large subunit ribosomal RNA", at positions 24 to 649 of the family's 3401-position model. The record is from RNAcentral. Lineage: Eukaryota; Fungi; Neocallimastigomycota; Neocallimastigomycetes; Neocallimastigales.